AGUGAACGCUGGCGGUAGGCCUAACACAUGCAAGUCGAACGGCAGCACAGUAAGAGCUUGCUCUUACGGGUGGCGAGUGGCGGACGGGUGAGGAAUACAUCGGAAUCUACUUUUUCGUGGGGGAUAACGUAGGGAAACUUACGCUAAUACCGCAUACGACCUACGGGUGAAAGCAGGGGAUCUUCGGACCUUGCGCGAUUGAAUGAGCCGAUGUCGGAUUAGCUAGUUGGCGGGGUAAAGGCCCACCAAGGCGACGAUCCGUAGCUGGUCUGAGAGGAUGAUCAGCCACACUGGAACUGAGACACGGUCCAGACUCCUACGGGAGGCAGCAGGGGGGAAUAUUGGACAAUGGGGGCAAGCCUGAUCCAGCCAUACCGGGGGGGUGAAGAAGGCCUUCGGGUUGUAAAGCCCUUUUGUUGGGAAAAAAAAGCAGCAGGUUAAUACCCCGCUGUUCUGACGGUACCCAAAGAAUAAGCACCGGCUAAUUUCGU
This 491-nucleotide ribosomal RNA is filed under the name uncultured bacterium. RNAcentral's name for it is "partial 16S ribosomal RNA". It matches the Rfam family "Bacterial small subunit ribosomal RNA", at positions 29 to 506 of the family's 1533-position model. The record is from RNAcentral.